CUUCCAGUAGCACCUUAGAAACCAACUAAGUUUGUUAUUGGUAUGAGCUUUUGUGUGCAUGCACACUUCUUGAGAUCUUCAAGCUCAUACCAGUAACAAACUUAGUUGGUCUCUAAGGUGCUACUGGAAG
Molecule: non-coding RNA, 130 nt
Organism: Podarcis lilfordi (Lilford's wall lizard)
Lineage: Eukaryota; Metazoa; Chordata; Lepidosauria; Squamata; Lacertidae
Source: the annotation of a GenBank genome assembly